RNAcentral lists this long non-coding RNA (796 nucleotides) under Fukomys damarensis (Damara mole-rat). RNAcentral describes it as "lncRNA (ENSFDAG00000030062.1)". The record is from RNAcentral. Lineage: Eukaryota; Metazoa; Chordata; Mammalia; Rodentia; Bathyergidae.
GCUGGAUAAUUCUAUUUUAAUAACCUUAUAAAGACUAAACAUGGUGGUAGAGAGCACAUUGGUACUGCCAGGGGUAGGUAUGAAGCAACAUUUUGAUUGUGAUCUGGUAGCAGGGGAAAUGUUUUAGAUUGACAAAUCUUCUCUUUAUUGUGGUACUGGACACACAAAUCUAUACCUGCAUGAAGUUUCACAUUUUGGUUAUAUAUACCAAAAAAGGCAAGAUUGCUAAUCUGGAAUUUUAAAAGACAACAAAAUGGUGUGGGUGUGUGUGUGUGUGUGUGUAUUUAAACAUCAAUCUUUGAAGUUUUAAAAGACAACAAAAUGGUGUGGGUGUGUGUGUGUGUGUGUGUAUUUAAACAUCAGCAUCUUUGAAGAAAUAGGGCUGCUACAAGAAUUAAAAGUUUGAAGGGAGUUUCUCCUUUAAAGCACUUUAAAAGAACAUUGUGCACCAAAGUGGACCCCAUGAAAACUCAGCUUUAUGAUUGGAUACCUCAGUCUUUACCAAUCCAGGUGACACCGGCCGAGCCAGACAUCUAUCCUUCGCUAUACAACAAAAACACCUGCAUCUACUGGCGCGGAGGAAACCAAUUCAGUGCUGUCCCAGCUGAUGCCGACAUCACCACAGAUGUUGUAUUGGGCCCCUAAAAUAGUGAGGUCCUGACUGACUCUCCAUUCAAGAGUCCUGCAACCUCCUUAUUUUCCCAACCAGCCCUAUUUUCCCCAGGGCACCACCUAGAUAUGACUGCUUACAGCUGAAAUGCAAUCCUGAUUAAAGACCUCUUUCUUUUCUCCGCAA